CAGCCGCCGCGGUAAUACGAAGGGGGCUAGCGUUGUUCGGAAUUACUGGGCGUAAAGGGCGCGUAGGCGGCCAUUCAAGUUAGAUGUGAAAGCCCUGGGCUCAACCUAGGAGUUGCAUUUGAUACUGUUUGGCUUGAGUUCGGGAGAGGUGAGUGGAAUUCCCAGUGUAGAGGUGGAAUGCGCAGAUAUCAGGAGGAACACCAAUAGCGAAGGCAGCUCGCUGGGACGUUACUGACACUGAGGCGCGAAAGCGUGGGGAGCGAACAGGAUUAGAUACCCCUGUAGUCCCUGUCUCUUAUAA
This 301-nucleotide ribosomal RNA is filed under the name uncultured bacterium. RNAcentral describes it as "partial 16S ribosomal RNA". It matches the Rfam family "Bacterial small subunit ribosomal RNA", at positions 509 to 809 of the family's 1533-position model. The record is from RNAcentral.